ACUAACUAAUUGAUGUGUUAAUUGGUUAGAGUUUCUUAGUGUUAGUUAAAGCUAUUGUUAGUUUCUUAGGUUGUUAAUUUUAAUAGAAUAUAAUUCUGAUGUGUAUAUAAACACUUAAUCAUUCAAUAAUGUAAUCAAGCUAUUUUGCAUUUCUUCUCUUUUGAGCAUACUCUGUUCUUUCAUCUUCUUCUUCUGUUUUGUUUCUUUAUGGUAUUAGAGCACUUGACUUGCGUCAAUGGCUUCCUCCGAUGACCACUCAUCUCAAGUUGGAGCCUCUGAUCCUGUUGUUGUGCCAACUCUGUCCUCCUCAAUGACACAACCAUGGAACCCCUUCUCAAACUCUUUGACAGCUUCGCUUAUCUUGAAACUCGAUUGCACGAAUUUCUUUUCCUAGAAAUCGCAAGUCAUACCUACUGUUAUAGGUCAUGAUCUUGAUGAGUUACUCUUCGGUAACAAUGCUCCUCCUUCAAAACUCAUCAAUAGCGAUGACAAUCCCCUGUUCUUGCAAUGGCAUCGCAAAGAUCAACUAUUGUUGUCCUGGCUCCGAUCUUCAAUGACUGAAGGAAUCUUGGCUAUAGUUGCUUGCUACCCCACAUCGAAUUCCGUUUGAAAGGCUUUGGAACAAAAAUUUAUAAGUCAGUCCAAGGCAAGACUCCUUCAACUCAAAAGCCAGUUAACAAAUCUGCAGAAAGGUAAUUUGUCCAUUUUUGAUUAUGUUGACAAGAUCAAAUCCGUGUGUGAUUCUUUGGCUAUUGCUGGACAUCAUGUAAAUGAUUUUGAUCUCAUUUUACACCUGAUUAAUGGACUUAGUCCCAAGUUUAACUCUGUUGUCUCCUGUAUUAACUCUCGAAGUGAAACUCUUUCACUUGAAGAAGUUCAAGCUCUCUUGAUGUCUCAUGAGUCAAAAUUGGAAAGACACUCCACUGUCUUGGAUCUUUCAACAAAAAUGGCAGCCAAUCUUACCUUGGGAUCAAGAAGUGGUACAUACAGACCUUUUAAUGGCUCUAGAAGAGGUCAAGGUUCUGAAAAUGUGCCAAGAUUCCUAAAUUGAAGAAAUGGAUCUCGACCUACCAACAAUAACAAACCUCUUUGUCAAGUGUGCAUGAGAUUUGCGCAUACUGUUGUCACUUGCCACUAUAGGUUUGAUCAAAAUUGGGUUACUCCAAAAACUUCUACUACUCAGCCACAAGCCAAUCUCACAGAGCAGUCUCUUGACUACGAUCCUCAGGCCUUUGUUGCUCAAAUUGUGCUAGAUUUUUGUGAUGAUGUUGGGUGGUAUGUGGAUUCAGGUGCAACCAAUCAUAUUGCACACUCAAUGGACAAUCUUGAGUAUGUCACUCCCUACACUGUUCAAGAAACAAUUGUUGUUGCUAAUGGUAAGAAAUUUGUCAUUUCUAACAUUGGUACAACUACUCUUUCCUUAAAUUCUCAUUCUUUACAUUUGAAUUCAGUUUUGUAAAUUCCUUCCAUAACUAAAAAGCUUGGUUAGUGUAUCCAAACUUAGUAAUGACAAUGAUGUUUUCUUAGAAUUUCAUAAAGUGUGUUAAGGACAAGAAAAAGGGUGCAAUCUUGCUUAAAAGGAAAAUCAAAGAUGGUCUCUAUCACCUAGGAGAUGAUAGCUCGAGUCUUUCCAAUAAAGCUCUGCAGGUGCAUCUUGCAACUUCAGACAUUCAAUCCAAGUCUAUGUUGAGUCAUUCUAAGUCUUGUAAUCAUUGUUGUACUCAGGUUGAUACUUCAACCUUUUCUUGUACUAAACAGAAUAAUAAAGGGCCAUCUAUUGUCUA
Molecule: long non-coding RNA, 1784 nt
Organism: Cannabis sativa
Lineage: Eukaryota; Viridiplantae; Streptophyta; Magnoliopsida; Rosales; Cannabaceae
Exons: 2
Source: RefSeq, a predicted model, not a curated record